Molecule: small nucleolar RNA, 135 nt
Filed under: Calidris pugnax (ruff)
Lineage: Eukaryota; Metazoa; Chordata; Aves; Charadriiformes; Scolopacidae
Description: Small nucleolar RNA U3 (ENSCPUG00000001642.1)
Rfam family: Small nucleolar RNA U3
About the family: Small nucleolar RNAs (snoRNAs) are involved in the processing and modification of rRNA in the nucleolus.
Source: RNAcentral
UCACAAUCCGCGAGGAGGAUGUUGUCGUUCUCUCCUGAGCGUGAGGCGGGCGGCGGCGCUGCCUGGGCAGGAGCCGUUGUCAUCGAUGACCGUUCCCGGAGUAUUCCGGGAGGGAGAGAACGCGAGCUGAGCGGG